AAGUCAUAACAAGGUUUCCGUAGGUGAACCUGCGGAAGGAUCAUUAGUGAUUUGGCCGAGAGGCCUUUUAAUCCAAUCCUCACACCUGUGAACUCGUCGGUGGGCUUCGGCCCGCCGGACACUUACAAUACUAUGUGUAAUGAACGUCAUAUAACAUAACAAAAACAAAACUUUCAACAACGGAUCUCUUGGCUCUC
RNAcentral lists this unclassified non-coding RNA (197 nucleotides) under air metagenome. Its description in RNAcentral is "partial contains small subunit ribosomal RNA, internal transcribed spacer 1, and 5.8S ribosomal RNA". The stretch from base 1 to 46 matches the Rfam family "Eukaryotic small subunit ribosomal RNA", at positions 1786 to 1831 of the family's 1831-position model. The record is from RNAcentral.